GGACUACAAGGGUAUCUAAUCCCGUUCGCUCCCCUGGCUUUCGCACCUGAGCGUCAGGUACUUCCCAGGACACUGCCUUCGCCUUUGGUGUUCCUCCGGAUAUCUACGCAUUUCACCACUCCACCCGGAAUUCCGUGUCCCUCUGAAGCCCUCAAGUCCGCCAGUUUUCAGACCACUUUCCCAGUUGAGCCGGGAACUGUCACCCUGAACUUGGCUGACCGCCUGCGUGCGCUUUACGCCCAAUAAAUCCGGACAACGCUUGCCCCCUACGUAUUACCGCGGCUGCUGGCAC
RNAcentral lists this ribosomal RNA (292 nucleotides) under uncultured bacterium. RNAcentral's name for it is "partial 16S ribosomal RNA". The record is from RNAcentral.